CAUUGGAGUGUUGAAUAUGAGAAGCUCAAUAACAAUGUCCCUAAUCCUCACCCCAUGUUCCAUUUUUGUGUUGAAGUUCUCAAAAAUGUUGAUGCUCACCUUGCACCUGAAUACAAGAACUAAACAAAUUAUGAACAAAAAAAGUUCAUGUCAUGUGUUAGUUUGAUUUCUAUAUCUAUGUGUGACAAAUAAAUGAGGAUUUAAUUUCCUCUAUGUGUCUCUAUGACAUGUUACGUAUUUUCAAUUAUGCAUGCAUAUGUUUUUUUUUUUAUCACCGGUAUCCAGCCCACUGGAUCGCCUAAUCUGAUUCGGGGGUUAAUUCUGUCAUCAAGUGGAUACAUAUGGUUUGUUUGUUCAUAAGAGUCGGGUGUAUUAGGUGUGAGCUGGAUUGUUUCUUGUCCACCUUGGGUUGUAAAGCAUAUAAAUAAAAUGUUUCGAUUUCGACUAAUAUCGACAAGUGAAAUAAGUCUUUUAUUAUAUACAAAUGUUAUGAGUGUUAAUCUAAAUUUGUGAGACUUAAGUUUCCAUUGAUAUAUUGU
This 539-nucleotide long non-coding RNA is filed under the name Trifolium pratense (red clover). RNAcentral describes it as "long non-coding RNA (TPRA_LNC013189)". Lineage: Eukaryota; Viridiplantae; Streptophyta; Magnoliopsida; Fabales; Fabaceae. The record is from RNAcentral.